CAAUACCGCGUGUGUGAAGAAGGCCUUCGGGUUGUAAAGCACUUUCAGCGAGGAGGAAGGCCAAGUAGUUAAUACCUGCUUGGAUUGACGUUACUCGCAGAAGAAGCACCGGCUAACUCCGUGCCAGCAGCCGCGGUAAUACGGAGGGUGCAAGCGUUAAUCGGAAUUACUGGGCGUAAAGCGCGCGUAGGCGGAUGAUUAAGUCAGAUGUGAAAGCCCAGGGCUUAACCUUGGAACUGCAUUUGAUACUGGUCAUCUAGAGUACAGAAGAGGGGGGUGGAAUUCCAGGUGUAGCGGUGAAAUGCGUAGAGAUCUGGAGGAACAUCAGUGGCGAAGGCGACCCCCUGGGCUGAUACUGACGCUGAGGUGCGAAAGCGUGGGUAGCGAACAGGAUUAGAUACCCUGGUAGUCCACGCCGUAAACGAUGUCUAUUAGCUGUUGGGUAUAUUAAGAUACUUAGUGGCGCAGCUAACGC
This 475-nucleotide ribosomal RNA is filed under the name Kangiella marina. Its description in RNAcentral is "bacterial SSU rRNA". It matches the Rfam family "Bacterial small subunit ribosomal RNA", at positions 392 to 858 of the family's 1533-position model. The record is from RNAcentral. Lineage: Bacteria; Pseudomonadati; Pseudomonadota; Gammaproteobacteria; Kangiellales; Kangiellaceae.